RNAcentral lists this ribosomal RNA (259 nucleotides) under uncultured bacterium. RNAcentral describes it as "partial 16S ribosomal RNA". It matches the Rfam family "Bacterial small subunit ribosomal RNA", at positions 99 to 354 of the family's 1533-position model. The record is from RNAcentral.
CGCACGGGUGAGUAACGCGUAUGCGACCUGCCCGUUGCAGGGGGAUAAUCGGGAGAAAUCCCGUCUAAUACCGCGUAACGCCGCGGGGCUGCAUGGCCCUGCGGCCAAAGGGAGCGAUUCCGGCAACGGAUGGGCAUGCGUGAUAUUAGCUAGUUGGCGGGGCAAUGGCCCACCAAGGCGACGAUGUCUAGGGGUUCUGAGAGGAAGGUCCCCCACACUGGUACUGAGACACGGACCAGACUCCUACGGAAGGCAGCAG